Molecule: ribosomal RNA, 253 nt
Filed under: uncultured bacterium
Lineage: Bacteria
Description: partial 16S ribosomal RNA
Rfam family: Bacterial small subunit ribosomal RNA
Source: RNAcentral
UACAGAGGGUGCAAGCGUUGUUCGGAAUUAUUGGGCGUAAAGCGCGUGUAGGCGGCCUUGCAAGUCGGGUGUGAAAGCCCUCAGCUCAACUGAGGAAGUGCGCCCGAAACUGCAGAGCUUGAGUGCCGGAGAGGAUGGCGGAAUUCCCCAAGUAGAGGUGAAAUUCGUAGAUAUGGGGAGGAACACCGGUGGCGAAGGCGGCCAUCUGGACGGCAACUGACGCUGAGACGCGAAAGCGUGGGGAGCAAACAGG